RNAcentral lists this ribosomal RNA (731 nucleotides) under uncultured Delftia sp. RNAcentral's name for it is "bacterial SSU rRNA". It matches the Rfam family "Bacterial small subunit ribosomal RNA", at positions 22 to 750 of the family's 1533-position model. The record is from RNAcentral. Lineage: Bacteria; Pseudomonadati; Pseudomonadota; Betaproteobacteria; Burkholderiales; Comamonadaceae.
GCUCAGAUUGAACGCUGGCGGCAUGCCUUACACAUGCAAGUCGAACGGUAACAGGUCUUCGGACGCUGACGAGUGGCGAACGGGUGAGUAAUACAUCGGAACGUGCCCAGUCGUGGGGGAUAACUACUCGAAAGAGUAGCUAAUACCGCAUACGAUCUGAGGAUGAAAGCGGGGGACCUUCGGGCCUCGCGCGAUUGGAGCGGCCGAUGGCAGAUUAGGUAGUUGGUGGGAUAAAAGCUUACCAAGCCGACGAUCUGUAGCUGGUCUGAGAGGACGACCAGCCACACUGGGACUGAGACACGGCCCAGACUCCUACGGGAGGCAGCAGUGGGGAAUUUUGGACAAUGGGCGAAAGCCUGAUCCAGCAAUGCCGCGUGCAGGAUGAAGGCCUUCGGGUUGUAAACUGCUUUUGUACGGAACGAAAAAGCUCCUUCUAAUACAGGGGGCCCAUGACGGUACCGUAAGAAUAAGCACCGGCUAACUACGUGCCAGCAGCCGCGGUAAUACGUAGGGUGCGAGCGUUAAUCGGAAUUACUGGGCGUAAAGCGUGCGCAGGCGGUUAUGUAAGACAGAUGUGAAAUCCCCGGGCUCAACCUGGGAACUGCAUUUGUGACUGCAUGGCUAGAGUACGGUAGAGGGGGAUGGAAUUCCGCGUGUAGCAGUGAAAUGCGUAGAUAUGCGGAGGAACACCGAUGGCGAAGGCAAUCCCCUGGACCUGUACUGACGCUCAU